Podarcis lilfordi (Lilford's wall lizard) is the source of this 75-nucleotide non-coding RNA. The record is from the annotation of a GenBank genome assembly. NCBI's taxonomy places the organism in Eukaryota, Metazoa, Chordata, Lepidosauria, Squamata, Lacertidae.
GCCCGAGUGGAGAGGCAAAGGAGUAGACCUGCAAGGUUAAUCUCAGGGUUGUGGGUUCAAGCCCCACGUUGGGCA